Molecule: microRNA, 21 nt
Filed under: Homo sapiens (human)
Lineage: Eukaryota; Metazoa; Chordata; Mammalia; Primates; Hominidae
Description: hsa-miR-4501
Source: miRBase by way of RNAcentral
UAUGUGACCUCGGAUGAAUCA